GACGAACGCUGGCGGCGUGCUUAACACAUGCAAGUCGAACGAAGAGCGAUGGAAGCUUGCUUCUAUCAAUCUUAGUGGCGAGCGGGUGAGUAACGCGUAAUCAACCUGCCCUUCAGAGGGGGACAACAGUUGGAAACGACUGCUAAUACCGCAUACGAUCUAAUCUCGGCAUCGAGGAUAGAUGAAAGGUGGCCUCUACAUGUAAGCUAUCACUGAAGGAGGGGAUUGCGUCUGAUUAGCUAGUUGGAGGGGUAACGGCCCACCAAGGCGAUGAUCAGUAGCCGGUCUGAGAGGAUGAACGGCCACAUUGGGACUGAGACACGGCCCAGACUCCUACGGGAGGCAGCAGUGGGGAAUCUUCCGCAAUGGACGAAAGUCUGACGGAGCAACGCCGCGUGAGUGAUGACGGCCUUCGGGUUGUAAAGCUCUGUUAAUCGGGACGAAAGGCCUUCUUGCGAAUAGUGAGAAGGAUUGACGGUACCGGAAUAGAAAGCCACGGCUAACUACGUG
RNAcentral lists this ribosomal RNA (510 nucleotides) under uncultured bacterium. Its description in RNAcentral is "partial 16S ribosomal RNA". It matches the Rfam family "Bacterial small subunit ribosomal RNA", at positions 28 to 507 of the family's 1533-position model. The record is from RNAcentral.